AACUCAAAGGACUUGGCGGUGCUUUAGACUCCUUAGGGGAACCUGUUUCAUAAUCGACAGUCCACGUUACACCUUUCCUUUAUUUGCAACUAAAAUUAGUCAGUAUGUAUACCGUCGUCGUCAGGUAACUUUUAAGAAUUAGGAAGUUAGCUACAAAAUUGUCUAUGAAUUUUGACGUCAGAUCAAGGUGCAACCUAUAAAAAGGAGAGAAUGGGUUACAAUUAAAAAUUAUAAUAUGGAAAAGAAAUUGAAACCUU
Molecule: ribosomal RNA, 257 nt
Filed under: Tarebia granifera
Lineage: Eukaryota; Metazoa; Mollusca; Gastropoda; Thiaridae
Description: partial 12S ribosomal RNA
Source: RNAcentral